Molecule: ribosomal RNA, 599 nt
Filed under: uncultured bacterium
Lineage: Bacteria
Description: bacterial SSU rRNA
Rfam family: Bacterial small subunit ribosomal RNA
Source: RNAcentral
UGGUGAGGUAACGGCUCACCAAGGCGACGAUGGGUAGCCGGCCUGAGAGGGUGUACGGCCACACUGGGACUGAGACACGGCCCAGACUCCUACGGGAGGCAGCAGUGGGGAAUAUUGCGCAAUGGACGGAAGUCUGACGCAGCGACGCCGCGUGAGCGAUGAAGGCCUUCGGGUCGUAAAGCUCUGUCCUUGGGGAAGAAGGUCUUCGGACUUGACGGUACCCAAGAAGAAAGCCCCGGCUAACUACGUGCCAGCAGCCGCGGUAAUACGUAGGGGGCGAGCGUUGUCCGGAAUUACUGGGCGUAAAGGGUGCGUAGGCGGCCCUUUAAGUCAGAUGUGAAAGGCCACGGCUUAACCGUGGGAUUGCAUUUGAAACUGGAGGACUUGAGUGUCGGAGAGGGUAGUGGAAUUCCCAGUGUAGCGGUGAAAUGCGUAGAUAUUGGGAGGAACACCAGUGGCGAAGGCGACUACCUGGACGAUAACUGACGCUGAGGCACGAAAGCUAGGGGAGCAAACAGGAUUAGAUACCCUGGUAGUCCUAGCCGUAAACGAUGGGUACUAGGUGUAGGUGGUUUCGAUACCAUCUGUGCCGGAGUUAA